GUGGAUUAGAUACCCUGGUAGUCCACGCCGUAAACUAUGGAUACUAGCUGUUGGAGGUAUCGACCCCUCCAGUAGCGAAGCUAACGCGUUAAGUAUCCCGCCUGUGGAGUACGGCCGCAAGGCUAAAACAUAAAGGAAUUGACGGGGACCCGCACAAGCGGUGGAUCGUGUUCUUUAAUUCGAUGCUAAACGAAGAACCUUACCAGGGCUUGACAUCCAGGGAAUUUUUGGGAAACCAAUUAGUGCCUUUUGGAACCCUGUGACAGGUGAUGCACGGCCGUCGUCAACU
Molecule: ribosomal RNA, 289 nt
Filed under: uncultured bacterium
Lineage: Bacteria
Description: partial 16S ribosomal RNA
Rfam family: Bacterial small subunit ribosomal RNA
Source: RNAcentral